AUGAGCUUCAGCUUACACAGGAUGAGGUUUCUAUUCCUGACUCUCCUACCCGGGGUUGAGCCAUCCACUCUCUCUCAUUUUCCUAUUACCUACUCUCGUCGUUCUCAUCACCCUUCUCCCUCUGAUGCGCCACCUUCCACUUCCCCUCUCUCUCCGCUUCCUUUCAUCUACUCCCGUCGUGCUCAACACCCUUCUCCCUCGGAUGCACCCACUUCCACUUCCACUCCUUCCCUGUUGGGUCCCAUUCCUUCAGAACCACCUACCCCUCCUGCUCCUCGGUAUAAUCUGCGUGAUCGCCACACUCUCCAGCCUCCUGCGUACUAUGUUGCUGCUGCUACUCUUGUUGAGCCGUCUACGUAUCGUGAGGCUGCUGCUCAUUUUGAAUGGCAGGAUGUUAUGGCAGAGGAGAUUCAUGCUCUUGAGCGCACAUGCACUUGGGACCUUGUACCCCUGCCUACAGGCGUUAGACCCAUCACUUGCAAAUGGGUCUACAAGGUUAAGACACAUUUAGAUGGUUCUCUCGUGCGCUACAAAGCUCGUCUUGUUGUGCGUGGCUUCCAGCAGGAGUAUGGUCGUGACUAUGAUGAGACUUUUGCUCCUGUUGCUCACAUGACCACUGUUCGCACUCUUUGGCUGUUGCUGCUGUUCGGCAGUGGUCCAUCUCUCAAUUAG
RNAcentral lists this ribosomal RNA (672 nucleotides) under Triticum aestivum (bread wheat). RNAcentral's name for it is "partial small subunit ribosomal RNA". Lineage: Eukaryota; Viridiplantae; Streptophyta; Magnoliopsida; Poales; Poaceae. The record is from RNAcentral.